This 737-nucleotide ribosomal RNA is filed under the name Gigaspora margarita. RNAcentral describes it as "eukaryotic LSU rRNA". It matches the Rfam family "Eukaryotic large subunit ribosomal RNA", at positions 25 to 668 of the family's 3401-position model. Lineage: Eukaryota; Fungi; Glomeromycota; Glomeromycetes; Diversisporales; Gigasporaceae. The record is from RNAcentral.
UCGACGAAUUCAGAUUAGCAUAUCAAUAAGCGGAGGAAAAGAAACUAACAAGGAUUCCCCUAGUAACGGCGAGUGAAGCGGGAAGAGCACAAAUUUAAAAUCUACCUGGUUUCCAGGUCGAGUUGUAAUUUGAAGAUACGUUUUUGAUGUUCUGGGUUGGGCUAAAUCCUUUGGGAUAAGGUAUUAUAGAGGGUGAGAAUCCCGUAUAUACCAACCGUAGGGAUGUUAUUAAAUACGUUUCUAAGAGUCGAGUUGUUUGGGAAUGCAGCUCUAAAUGGGUGGUAAAUUUCACCUAAUGCUAAAUAUAAGCGAGAGACCGAUAGCGAACAAGUACAGUGAUGGAAAGAUGAAAAGAACUUUGAAAAGAGAGUUAAAUAGUAUGUGAAAUUGUUGAAAGGGAAACGAUUGAAGUCAGUCAUGCCGACGGGAAUCAACUUAGAGGAAACUCUGGGUGCACUUCUUCGCUUGGCAGGUCAACGUCGAUUUUGAAUGUCAUAAAAUAAUUGGGGGAAGGUAGCUCCUUCGGGAGUGUUAUAGCCCUUGAUAGAUGUGAUGUUUGGGGUCGAGGAUUGCAACGGAUACCCUCUGGGGCUAGCCGCCUGAUCUCUAAUCGGUGUUGGGUUACGGAUAGCAUGCUGACCGUGAUCUAAUUACUGGUUAAAAGGUUAGAGCGUGUAUAAAUUCGUUAAGGACACUGACGUAAUGGCUUUAAACGACCCGUCUUGAAACACGGACCA